AACGCGAAGAACCUUACCUGGGCUUGACAUGCAGAGGAAACUUUCGUGAAAGCGAGAGCCUCCCGCAAGGGACAGUAGUAGAGGUGCUGCAUGGCUGUCGUCAGCUCGUGCCGUGAGGUGUUGGGUUAAGUCCCGCAACGAGCGCAACCCUUACUCGUAGUUGCUACCCGCAAGGGAGAACUCUACGAGGACUGCUCCGGAUAACGGAGAGGAAGGUGGGGAUGACGUCAAGUCAGCACGGCCUUUAUGUCCAGGGCUACACACGUGUUACAAUGCAUGGUACAGACUGUUGCGAACCCGCGAGGGGGAGCUAAUCGGACAAAACCAUGCUCAGUUCGGAUUGCAGUCUGCAACUCGGCUGCAUGAAGCUGGAAUCGCUAGUAAUGGCGUAUCAGAUCGACGCCGUGAAUACGUUCCCGGGCCUUGUACACACCGCUACAGU
This 442-nucleotide ribosomal RNA is filed under the name uncultured bacterium. RNAcentral's name for it is "bacterial SSU rRNA". It matches the Rfam family "Bacterial small subunit ribosomal RNA", at positions 958 to 1401 of the family's 1533-position model. The record is from RNAcentral.